Molecule: unclassified non-coding RNA, 116 nt
Organism: Callithrix jacchus (white-tufted-ear marmoset)
Lineage: Eukaryota; Metazoa; Chordata; Mammalia; Primates; Cebidae
Rfam family: Metazoan signal recognition particle RNA
About the family: The signal recognition particle (SRP) is a universally conserved ribonucleoprotein. It is involved in the co-translational targeting of proteins to membranes.
Source: Ensembl
GCUGGGCGUGGUGGCUCACGCCUGUAAUCCAAGCAGUUUGGAGGCCAAGGCAGGCGGAUCACCUGAGGUUGGGAGUUCAAGACCAGCCUGACCAACAUGGUGAAACCCUGUCUUUA